AUGGCCAGCAGAGUGUCAAUCCACAAGAGGGAAGAAGGGGGUCUGGUUCAGUAUGACUCCAUGGCUAGUGUUGGUUCAGACUUUGAGAGUUUGACACCAUGUAGUUUAUCCCACAGGCAACUGGUUCCAUUGCUGUGGGCUUAACGAAGGGCUGAAUGUUAUGACGAAGAGCAAAGCAGCUCACCUUGAAGCAGACAGGAAGCAAAGAGGAAGGUCAUGCACAUCAUUUCAGAGCAUGCUAUGUUGACUGACUCCCCUUUGACCAGCAGUCACAUCUCCUGCUUUCUACCAACUCCCCAAAUACCAAGGUACUGUGAAUUCACCUGAUCAGAGCUUCCGAGCCCUUAGGCCUCAAUUACUUCCUAAACUAAGCAACAAUACCACUACUAAAGAAGCCUG
Molecule: long non-coding RNA, 399 nt
Filed under: Mus musculus (house mouse)
Lineage: Eukaryota; Metazoa; Chordata; Mammalia; Rodentia; Muridae
Description: predicted gene, 47790
Source: RNAcentral